Cucurbita pepo subsp. pepo (vegetable marrow) is the source of this 400-nucleotide non-coding RNA. The record is from RefSeq and is a predicted model, not a curated record. NCBI's taxonomy places the organism in Eukaryota, Viridiplantae, Streptophyta, Magnoliopsida, Cucurbitales, Cucurbitaceae.
UCCCUCUCUAAAAAAAUUACUGGAAAAGUAGAAAUAGACGACCUCAACAACAGUCCCAAAUACUCUCAUUGCCGAAACUACGCCGUUUCGAUUCACAACCUCGACGACCGCCGCUGCCUCCGUGGCGGCUGCGGGCUGGUGGGUGUCUCUGCAACUGGCCUUUCAGACCAUCGGAAUAGUGUACGGAGAUAUAGGAGCGUCGCCGUUGUAUGUUUUUCCGACAACUUUUGAUCCAUUUAGUUAAGUACGUCUUCAUCGUUUUGCAGGCUAAUGACAAUAGCAAUGGAACGACAAUGGCGAUGUUUUGUCACCUGUUGGAGGCGUUAGGAAGGCUCAAGGUAUGCAAUUAUGCCCAUUUUAAUAUUUAGAAAAGUUUCGGGUCUAUUUGGUAAUUAUUUUA